RNAcentral lists this ribosomal RNA (506 nucleotides) under uncultured bacterium. RNAcentral describes it as "partial 16S ribosomal RNA". It matches the Rfam family "Bacterial small subunit ribosomal RNA", at positions 28 to 507 of the family's 1533-position model. The record is from RNAcentral.
GACGAACGCUGGCGGCGUGCUUAACACAUGCAAGUCGAACGGUGAAGGGACUGGUUUUGCUGGUCCUGGAUGAGUGGCGAACGGGUGAGUAACACGUGAGUAACCUGCCCCCUUCUUCUGGAUAACCGCAUGAAAGUGUGGCUAAUACGGGAUAUUCUGGGUCUGUCGCAUGGUGGGCCUGGGAAAGAUUGCGCCUUUUUUGGUGUUUUUGGUGGGGGAUGGGCUCGCGGCCUAUCAGCUUGUUGGUGGGGUGAUGGCCUACCAAGGCGGUGACGGGUAGCCGGCCUGAGAGGGUGGACGGUCACACUGGGACUGAGACACGGCCCAGACUCCUACGGGAGGCAGCAGUGGGGAAUAUUGCACGAUGGGCGCAAGCCUGAUGCAGCGACGCCGCGUGAGGGAUGGAGGCCGUCGGGUUGUGAACCUCUUUCGCCAGUGAAGCAGGCCUGCCUCUAUUUGUGGGUGGGUUGACGGUAGCUGGAUAAGAAGCGCCGGCUAACUACGUG